AAUCCGUCGACUUUAAAAAUCGU
This 23-nucleotide transfer RNA is filed under the name Bourreria exsucca. Its description in RNAcentral is "partial tRNA-Leu". Lineage: Eukaryota; Viridiplantae; Streptophyta; Magnoliopsida; Boraginales; Ehretiaceae. The record is from RNAcentral.